RNAcentral lists this long non-coding RNA (286 nucleotides) under Salvia miltiorrhiza (redroot sage). RNAcentral's name for it is "long non-coding RNA (SMIL_LNC001609)". The record is from RNAcentral. Lineage: Eukaryota; Viridiplantae; Streptophyta; Magnoliopsida; Lamiales; Lamiaceae.
AGGCUUAAAUUUUUAUAAUUUAUUAUUUAUGCUUUGUUAUGCUUUUAAGAGAUUUACGCUUAAGUGAGUUACGCUUUGUUACGCGCCUACGUGGUUCACGCUUUGUUACGCUUUAAUGCUUUACGCUUAUUAUUUAACGCCUAUGUGAGUUACGCUUUAAUGUUUUAUGCUUAUUAUCUAAUGCUUAUUUGAUGCUAACAAGAUCGAUUCCUGAGCGGAUAGCUAUCUUGCCAGGAUAUAUAUUUAUAUAUGCAACGCGACCGUGAGUCAAUGAGAGGGUUGGCCG